ACCUUCAUAUGCUGUAAUAUUCCUAUGAUACUCCAUCCUAGCUCCCUUCCACAAGUUACAUUUGAAUAUCGUCGUGAAAAGGAGAUUAUCAUGAAAACUAAAAUUGUAGGCAGUAUCUUGAAAUUUCACAAAAUGUUCGCCCAAAUCGUCGCUUCUGGAUUUGCAAUGGACUUUUAGAAUACUAUGACUUUGAAAAAGGUUGUUUUGAAAAGCUACAGUGUUUUUAUGACAUUUAUCUUCUUUGGACACACAACACAAAACAAAUAUAAAAAACAGAAAGCUAAAUACAAGAUUCAUUAUUUUGAAUCAAUCUAGUUAAACUUGGGGAGGAUCACAAAAUACUUAUU
Arabidopsis thaliana (thale cress) is the source of this 347-nucleotide long non-coding RNA. RefSeq annotates it as other RNA. The transcript has a single exon. The record is from RefSeq. NCBI's taxonomy places the organism in Eukaryota, Viridiplantae, Streptophyta, Magnoliopsida, Brassicales, Brassicaceae.